This 475-nucleotide ribosomal RNA is filed under the name Salmonella enterica subsp. enterica serovar Enteritidis. Its description in RNAcentral is "partial 23S ribosomal RNA". The stretch from base 1 to 366 matches the Rfam family "Bacterial large subunit ribosomal RNA", at positions 161 to 565 of the family's 2925-position model. The record is from RNAcentral. Lineage: Bacteria; Pseudomonadati; Pseudomonadota; Gammaproteobacteria; Enterobacterales; Enterobacteriaceae.
AAUCCAUAGGUUAAUGAGGCGAACCGGGGGAACUGAAACAUCUAAGUACCCCGAGGAAAAGAAAUCAACCGAGAUUCCCCCAGUAGCGGCGAGCGAACGGGGAGGAGCCCAGAGCCUGAAUCAGCAUGUGUGUUAGUGGAAGCGUCUGGAAAGGCGCGCGAUACAGGGUGACAGCCCCGUACACAAAAGCGCAUGUGCUGUGAGCUCGAUGAGUAGGGCGGGACACGUGGUAUCCUGUCUGAAUAUGGGGGGACCAUCCUCCAAGGCUAAAUACUCCUGACUGACCGAUAGUGAACCAGUACCGUGAGGGAAAGGCGAAAAGAACCCCGGCGAGGGGAGUGAAAAAGAACCUGAAACCGUGUACGUACAAGCAGUGGGAGCCCCACCACCAAAGCAUUUGCUGUACCGCGUUGACGGAGCGAAGCGACGUCAAACCGAUAAAACAGCAGUGUAAAGUGAGCCGCAGGGCGCUUUG